AAAGCUUUUCUGUCCCUGUCGCGAUGUGUGCCCAGAGUCUCUCCCGCUCCCGUCUCGAGUGCUUUCUCUACGGAGUCUCACUCUGUCGCCCAGGCUGGAGUGCAGUGGUACGAUUUCGGCUCACUGCAAGCUCCGCCUUCCGGGUUUAUGCUAUUCUCCUGCCUCAGCCUCCCGAGUAGCUGGGACUACAAGUGCCUGCCACCACGCUGGCUAGUUUUUUUUUUUUUUUUUUUUAGAUGGAGUCUCGCUCUGUUGCCCAGGCUGGAGUGCAGUGGCGCAAUCUCGGCUCACUGCAGCCUCGACUUACUAGGCUCAGGCAAUUCUCCCACCUCAGCCUCCUGUGUCGUUGGGACUACAGGCGCCCAACACCGCACCCACCCUGAGUCCCCUUUUUAACUUGGAGAGUCCCCUUUCCUGGGACUUACCAGUCCUCCUCCAUUCCAGACAGGUGGUUCUCUGGGUUGGCUACACAGCUGUCAUCCUGGAACUUUCCUUCGGUACUUUCCUGAGUUGGAUUUUAUUCUAACCCCCGUCACUGAUUGAUUCCAAAGUUUUUUUUCUUUUUUCUGUAGCUCA
Molecule: small RNA, 576 nt
Filed under: Pongo abelii (Sumatran orangutan)
Lineage: Eukaryota; Metazoa; Chordata; Mammalia; Primates; Hominidae
Description: processed transcript
Source: RNAcentral